Molecule: ribosomal RNA, 550 nt
Filed under: bacterium BaA1-30
Lineage: Bacteria
Also listed under: 1 other name
Description: bacterial SSU rRNA
Rfam family: Bacterial small subunit ribosomal RNA
Source: RNAcentral
UGCUUCUAUGACGUUAGCGGCGGACGGGUGAGUAACACGUGGGCAACCUGCCUGUAAGACUGGGAUAACUUCGGGAAACCGAAGCUAAUACCGGAUAGGAUCUUCUCCUUCAUGGGAGAUGAUUGAAAGAUGGUUUCGGCUAUCACUUACAGAUGGGCCCGCGGUGCAUUAGCUAGUUGGUGAGGUAACGGCUCACCAAGGCAACGAUGCAUAGCCGACCUGAGAGGGUGAUCGGCCACACUGGGACUGAGACACGGCCCAGACUCCUACGGGAGGCAGCAGUAGGGAAUCUUCCGCAAUGGACGAAAGUCUGACGGAGCAACGCCGCGUGAGUGAUGAAGGCUUUCGGGUCGUAAAACUCUGUUGUUAGGGAAGAACAAGUACGAGAGUAACUGCUCGUACCUUGACGGUACCUAACCAGAAAGCCACGGCUAACUACGUGCCAGCAGCCGCGGUAAUACGUAGGUGGCAAGCGUUAUCCGGAAUUAUUGGGCGUAAAGCGCGCGCAGGCGGUUUCUUAAGUCUGAUGUGAAAGCCCACGGCUCAACCG